UGGGGAAUCUUGGACAAUGGACGCAAGUCUGAUCCAGCCAUGCCGCGUGCGGGAAGAAGGCCUUCGGGUUGUAAACCGCUUUUGUUAGGGAAGAAACGCUCUGGGCUAAUACUCUGGGGUAAUGACGGUACCUGAAGAAUAAGCACCGGCUAACUACGUGCCAGCAGCCGCGGUAAUACGUAGGGUGCAAGCGUUAAUCGGAAUUACUGGGCGUAAAGCGUGCGCAGGCGGUUAUACAAGACAGAGGUGAAAUCCCCGGGCUCAACCUGGGAACUGCCUUUGAGACUACAUGGCUAGAGUACAGUAGAGGGGGCUGGAAUUCGGCAUGUAGCAGUGAAAUGCGUAGAUAUGCGAAGGAACACCGAUGGCGAAGGCAAUCCCCUGGACCUGUACUGACGCUCAUGCACGAAAGCGUGGGGAGCAAACA
This 427-nucleotide ribosomal RNA is filed under the name uncultured bacterium. Its description in RNAcentral is "bacterial SSU rRNA". It matches the Rfam family "Bacterial small subunit ribosomal RNA", at positions 355 to 774 of the family's 1533-position model. The record is from RNAcentral.